Molecule: ribosomal RNA, 492 nt
Filed under: uncultured bacterium
Lineage: Bacteria
Description: partial 16S ribosomal RNA
Rfam family: Bacterial small subunit ribosomal RNA
Source: RNAcentral
AGUGAACGCUGGCGGUAGGCCUAACACAUGCAAGUCGAACGGCAGCACAGUAAGAGCUUCCUCUUACGGGUGGCGAGUGGCGGACGGGUGAGGAAUACAUCGGAAUCUACUUUUUCGUGGGGGAUAACGUAGGGAAACUUACGCUAAUACCGCAUACGACCUACGGGUGAAAGCAGGGGAUCUUCGGACCUUGCGCGAUUGAAUGAGCCGAUGUCGGAUUAGCUAGUUGGCGGGGUAAAGGCCCACCAAGGCGACGAUCCGUAGCUGGUCUGAGAGGAUGAUCAGCCACACUGGAACUGAGACACGGUCCAGACUCCUACGGGAGGCAGCAGUGGGGAAUAUUGGACAAUGGGCGCAAGCCUGAUCCAGCCAUACCGCGUGGGUGAAGAAGGCCUUCGGGUUGUAAAGCCCUUUUGUUGGGAAAGAAAAGCAGCAGGUUAAUACCCCGCUGUUCUGGCGGUACCCAAAGAAUAAGCAUCGGCUAACUUCGUG